AUGGGAACGCGAAGAACCUUACCUACUCUUGACAUCCAGAGAACUUUCCAGAGAUGGAUUGGUGCCUUCGGGAACUCUGAGACAGGUGCUGCAUGGCUGUCGUCAGCUCGUGUUGUGAAAUGUUGGGUUAAGUCCCGCAACGAGCGCAACCCGUUAUCCUUUGUUGCCAGCGGUUAGGCCGGGAACUCAAAGGAGACUGCCAGUGAUAAACUGGAGGAAGGUGGGGAUGACGUCAAGUCAUCAUGGCCCUUACGAGUAGGGCUACACACGUGCUACAAUGGCGCAUACAAAGAGAAGCGACCUCGCGAGAGCAAGCGGACCUCAUAAAGUGCGUCGUAGUCCGGAUUGGAGUCUGCAACUCGACUCCAUGAAGUCGGAAUCGCUAGUAACCGUAGAUCAGAAUGCUACGGUGAAUACGUUCCCGGGUCUUGUACACACCG
Molecule: ribosomal RNA, 440 nt
Filed under: uncultured bacterium
Lineage: Bacteria
Description: bacterial SSU rRNA
Rfam family: Bacterial small subunit ribosomal RNA
Source: RNAcentral